This 1442-nucleotide ribosomal RNA is filed under the name uncultured bacterium. RNAcentral describes it as "bacterial SSU rRNA". It matches the Rfam family "Bacterial small subunit ribosomal RNA". The record is from RNAcentral.
CCUGCAGGUCGACGAUUAGAGUUUGAUCCUGGCUCAGGAUGAACGCUGGCGGCGUGCCUUAGGCAUGCAAGUCGUACGGUGCAGCAAUGCACAGUGGCGGACGGUCGAGUAACGCGUGGGAAUCUACCUUAAAGUGGGGGAUAGCCAGCCGAAAGGUUGGAUAAUACCGCAUGUGAUCGCAAGAUUAAAGAGCAAUCGCUUUAAGAUGAGCCUGCGUCCUAUCAGCUUGUUGGUGGGGUAAAAGCCUACCAAGGCGACGACGGGUAGCUGGUCUGAGAGGACGAUCAGCCGGAAUGGGACUGAGACACGGCCCAUACACCUACGGGUGGCAGCGACCGGGAAUCUUCGGCAAUGGGCGAAAGCCUGACCGAGCGACGCCGCGUGGAGGAUCGAAGGCCUUCGGGUCGUAAACUCCUUUUACGAGGGAAGAUUAUGACGGUACCUCGUGAAUAAGCACUUGCUAACUACGUGCCAGAAGCCUCGGUAAGACGUAGAGUGCGAGCGUUAUCCGGAUUCAUUGGGCGUAAAGUGUUGCGUAGGCGGAUUUGCGCAUUUCACUCAAAAGCCCGUGGCUCAACCACGGUUUUGGGUGAAAUAUGGCAAAUCUGGAUGGUUUCAGAGGGUACUGGAACAGAUCAUGUAGCAGUGAAAUGCGUUGAUAUGAUCUGGAACACCAAAGGCGUAGGCAGGUACCUGGGAAACUCAUGACGCUGAGGCACGACAGCUUGGGGAGCGAAGCAGAUUAGAGACCUGCGUAGUCCAAGCCGUAAACGAUGGAUGCUAGUUAGUUGGAUUUUUCUAACUGACGUAAGCUAACGCGUUAAGCAUCCCGCCUGGGGAGUACGAGCGCAAGCUUAAAACUCAAAGGAAUUGACGGGGAGGCGCACAAGCAGUGGAGCAUGUGGUUUAAUUCGAGACAAAGCGAAAAACCUCACCAGGGUUUGACAUGUAGAUGCAAGUCCCGUGAAAGCGGGAUUCCUUAGAGGGUUCUACACAGAUGCUGCAUGGCUGUCGUCAGCUCGUGGCGUGAGCUGUACCCUUAAGUGGGACAACGAGCGCAACCCGCACCGUAUGUUAAAUAGUUCAUGCGGAACUGCCCCUUUUUAAGGGGAGGAAGGCGCGGAUGACGUCAAGUCAGCACGGCUCUUACACCCUGGGCUACACACAUCCUACAAUGGACAGUAACAAUGAGCAGCAAGCCGGCAACGGUAAGCAAAUCUCUGAAAUCUGUCCUCAGUUCAGAUCGGGGUCUGCAAUUCGACCCCGUGAAGUCGGAAUUGCUAGUAAUCGCGAAUCAGCAGGUCGCGGUGAAUACGUUCUCGCCUCUUGUACACACCGCCCGUCAAGGCAGCAAAGUUGGGGGUGCCCGAAUAACCAUUUUGGUUAGAAGGCAAAACCAGCGAUGAAGCUUAAGUCGUAACAAGGUAGCCGUAAAUCUCUAG